UCGGAAUAAGCAGCUUAGCAAAGCAGCCUGCGGUAAAACGCGCAACAGCUAAAUAUCUACAGCCAUGCUGCAGCUUCUCAAUGAAACGGUGGCAAAAAAGUGCUAAUAACACGGGCUGGUACGUUUGUAUACAAGCAGCAACGCUGUGUUCUCGCUGUGGGAAUGCUCAGAUUGCUACGAUGAACAAAUUGAGGGCAGAUCCCUUCGAAAUGAAUUGAGGCUUUGCAACAGUUUUACAAGAGAGACUAUCUGAGUCACGGAGAUUUCCCAGAACAACAUGACUCCCUCUUCGGACCAGAUGCAAAUGAAACUACUUUGAAUAUCAGUGUGGUUACUUUUCAUGGGUGAGGAAAAAGGCUGCACUUCCCCUUCCACAAAAUGUGCCUGGCAGAAAUGUUACACAUUGGGUAUCCAGAGAAGUCCCGCAGGUAGCAGGUGCUGUAACAACAAAACCCUUUGCAUUACCAUUAUCAUCUGCCAGCUCUGCUUCCAGUGAAGUCCUGCCGUGGUUUAA
This is a long non-coding RNA of Grus americana (Whooping crane), 514 nucleotides long. RefSeq lists it as uncharacterized. NCBI's taxonomy places the organism in Eukaryota, Metazoa, Chordata, Aves, Gruiformes, Gruidae. The record is from RefSeq and is a predicted model, not a curated record. The transcript is spliced from 3 exons.